AUUAUGGAGAGUUUGAUCCUGGCUCAGAGUGAACGCUGGCGGCGUGCCUAAUACAUGCAAGUCGAACGAUGAAGCUU
This 77-nucleotide ribosomal RNA is filed under the name Campylobacter jejuni. Its description in RNAcentral is "partial 16S ribosomal RNA". It matches the Rfam family "Bacterial small subunit ribosomal RNA", at positions 1 to 77 of the family's 1533-position model. The record is from RNAcentral. Lineage: Bacteria; Pseudomonadati; Campylobacterota; Epsilonproteobacteria; Campylobacterales; Campylobacteraceae.